GCGGGUAUAGCUCAGUUGGUAGAGCGCCUGCUUCCCAAGCAGAAGGUCACGGGUUCGAGUCCCGUUACCCGCU
This 73-nucleotide transfer RNA is filed under the name Chloroflexota bacterium. RNAcentral's name for it is "Chloroflexi bacterium tRNA-Gly". It matches the Rfam family "tRNA". Rfam says of the family: Transfer RNA (tRNA) molecules are approximately 80 nucleotides in length. Their secondary structure includes four short double-helical elements and three loops (D, anti-codon, and T loops). RNAcentral also lists the same sequence under 2 other names. The record is from RNAcentral. Lineage: Bacteria; Bacillati; Chloroflexota.